CCUACGGGAGGCUGCAGUGAGGAAUAUUGGUCAAUGGGCGCUAGCCUGAACCAGCCACGUCGCGUGAAGGAUGACUGCCCUAUGGGUUGUAGACUUCUUUUAUAUGGGAAUAAAGUGCAGUAUGUAUACUGCUUUGCAUGUACCUUAUGAAUCAGGAUCGGCUAACUCAGUGCCAGCAGCCGCGGUAAUACGGAGGAUCCGAGCGUUAUCCGGAUUUAUUGGGUUUAAAGGGAGCGUAGGCGGGUUGUUAAGUCAGUUGUGAAAGUUUGCGGCUCAACCGUAAAAUUGCAGUUGAUACUGGCAUCCUUGAGUACAGUAGAGGUAGGCGGAAUUCGUGGUGUAGCGGUGAAAUGCUUAGAUAUCACGAAGAACUCCGAUUGCGAAGGCAGCCUGCUGGACUGUAACUGACGCUGAGGCACGAAAGUGUGGGUAGCAAACAGGAUUAGAUACCCUGGUAGUC
Molecule: ribosomal RNA, 460 nt
Filed under: uncultured bacterium
Lineage: Bacteria
Description: partial 16S ribosomal RNA
Rfam family: Bacterial small subunit ribosomal RNA
Source: RNAcentral